RNAcentral lists this ribosomal RNA (792 nucleotides) under uncultured archaeon. RNAcentral describes it as "bacterial SSU rRNA". It matches the Rfam family "Archaeal small subunit ribosomal RNA", at positions 85 to 879 of the family's 1478-position model. The record is from RNAcentral.
ACUGCUCAGUAACACGUGGAUAACCUACCCUGAAGCGGGGCAUAAUCUCGGAAAACUGAGGAUAAUACCCCAUAAGUCUUCGAUACUGGAAUGUUCCUAGGCUGAAAGCUACGGCGCUUCAGGAUGGGUCUGCGGCCUAUCAGGUUGUAGUGAGUGUAAUGGACUCACUAGCCGACGACGGGUACGGGCUGUGGGAGCAGUUGCCCGGAGAUGGACUCUGAGACACGAGUCCAGGCCCUACGGGGCGCAGCAGGCGCGAAAACUUCACAAUGCGCGGAAGCGCGAUGAGGGGAUUCCAAGUGCAUGCACUCUGUGUAUGCUGUUUACUAGUCUAAAAAGCUAGUAGAGUAAGGGCUGGGUAAGACUGGUGCCAGCCGCCGCGGUAAUACCAGCGGCCCUAGUGGUGAUCGUUAUUAUUGGGCCUAAAGCGUCCGUAGCCGGUUUGGUCAGUCCUCCGGGAAAUCUGUCAGCUCAACUGAUAGGCUUUCGGGGGAUACUGCCAGACUUGGAACCGGGAGAGGUAAGAGGUACUACAGGGGUAGGAGUGAAAUCUUGUAAUCCCUGUGGGACCACCUGUGGCGAAGGCGUCUUACCAGAACGGGUUCGACGGUGAGGGACGAAAGCUGGGGGCACGAACCGGAUUAGAUACCCGGGUAGUCCCAGCCGUAAACGAUGCUCGCUAGGUGUCAUGCAUGGUGCGACCGUGUAUGGUGCCGUAGGGAAGCCGUGAAGCGAGCCACCUGGGAAGUACGGCCGCAAGGCUGAAACUUAAAGGAAUUGGCGGGGGAGCAC